Brassica oleracea var. oleracea is the source of this 820-nucleotide long non-coding RNA. RefSeq lists it as uncharacterized. NCBI's taxonomy places the organism in Eukaryota, Viridiplantae, Streptophyta, Magnoliopsida, Brassicales, Brassicaceae. The transcript is spliced from 6 exons. The record is from RefSeq and is a predicted model, not a curated record.
GUAUCAUAAUGGUGUCUACUUUCAAUUAAUUUGGCUGAGAGUCUACAUAGUUUACAUAUGUAACAAAGCGCAACAACAAUUCUAAAGAGAUUCAUUAGGUUGAUGAUAUUAUCAACGCUAGCAACAAUUCUCUAACUGUUAAUGAUCUGAAGAUUCAGCUACAGUCUCAUUUCAAGCUUCAUGCCUUAAGUUCUUUCAAAUACUUUUUUUUGUCUCAAAAUUGUUAGAACUUCUUAAAGAAUCUCUGUUUCUCAGCGCCUUUUUGUUUUUGUGAUUGAUAUAUACACAAGAAUAAUUCUUGUCGAUCGGCUUACUAGAAUCCUCUGUGCUCAAAUUAUCUCACCUUGCUUUCUCUCCAAGCUUUAAAGGGACGAGUUUCGUGUGAGGUUUUAUGAAGAGUUUCCUGACACGACAGGCGUGGGAGAUUGUGCGUUAGCUGCUGGAAAUGCGUGGAGGUCGAUGACUGAUUCUGAGAAUGCUCCUUAUUUCGCCAUGGCAGACAGAGGAGCCAUGUAUAGACCUCCUUGGGCAGGACCAUGCAACUGCAAUGGAGCUAUUAGUUUCGUUUUUGGCUAAAGAUGAAUCAGCAAUUAGCCAUUAGUUAUUGUAUGUAUGCCUUGAGAAUUAGCUCUGGAAACCCUUUAAGCUUUAACCUUCCUUUCUACUAUUUUGUGAUGAUAACUAUGUGUUUCUGCACGCUUUAAACUUCCGCCACCCGGGUUCGAUUCGCGCUGGGAGAGACUAUUUACAUCGCUUGUAUUCCCGGCAAAGAGGUGAAAAUACCUUUUUUUACACCAAAAAAAAUAUUGGUGCUAUGUUA